UAACGGCGAGUGAAGCGGCAAAAGCUCAAAUUUGAAAUCUGGCCCUUUCAGGGUCCGAGUUGUAAUUUGUAGAGGGUGCUUUGGCGUUGGCUGUGGUCUAAGUUCCUUGGAACAGGACGUCGCAGAGGGUGAGAAUCCCGUAUGUGGCCGCCAGUCUUCGCCGUGUAAAGCCCCUUCGACGAGUCGAGUUGUUUGGGAAUGCAGCUCUAAAUGGGAGGUAAAUUUCUUCUAAAGCUAAAUAUUGGCCAGAGACCGAUAGCGCACAAGUAGAGUGAUCGAAAGAUGAAAAGCACUUUGGAAAGAGAGUCAAAAAGCACGUGAAAUUGUUGAAAGGGAAGCGCUUGCAGCCAGACUUGCCUGUAGUUGCUCAUCCGGGCUUUUGCCCGGUGCACUCUUCUAUGGG
This 403-nucleotide ribosomal RNA is filed under the name Preussia sp. NVM2.5. RNAcentral's name for it is "eukaryotic LSU rRNA". It matches the Rfam family "Eukaryotic large subunit ribosomal RNA", at positions 84 to 491 of the family's 3401-position model. The record is from RNAcentral. Lineage: Eukaryota; Fungi; Ascomycota; Dothideomycetes; Pleosporales; Sporormiaceae.